AGAGUUUGAUCCUGGCUCAGAUUGAACGCUGGCGGCGUGCUUAACACAUGCAAGUCGAACGAGAAAGGGACUUCGGUCCUGAGUAGAGUGGCGCACGGGUGAGUAACGCGUAGGUAAUCUACCUCUGCAUCUGGGAUAACACUUCGAAAGGGGUGCUAAUACCGGAUACACUUAUGGAUCGCGAGAUUUAUAAGGAAAGGAGACCUCUCCUUGGAAGUUUCUGUGUAGAGAUGAGCCUGCGUCCCAUUAGCUAGUUGGUCGGGUAAUGGCCUACCAAGGCGACGAUGGGUAGCGGGUCUGAGAGGAUGAUCCGCCACACUGGAACUGAAACACGGACCAGACUCCUACGGGAGGCAGCAGUGAGGAAUAUUGCGCAAUGGGGGAAACCCUGACGCAGCGACGCCGCGUGGGUGAUGAAGGCCUUCGGGUUGUAAAGCCCUGUCAGGUGGGAAGAAGUGCAUUAUGGCUAAUAUCCAUAGUGUUUGACGGUACCACCAAAGGAAGCACCGGCUAACUCCGUGCCAGCAGCCGCGGUAAUAC
This 540-nucleotide ribosomal RNA is filed under the name uncultured Desulfotalea sp. Its description in RNAcentral is "bacterial SSU rRNA". It matches the Rfam family "Bacterial small subunit ribosomal RNA", at positions 8 to 526 of the family's 1533-position model. Lineage: Bacteria; Pseudomonadati; Thermodesulfobacteriota; Desulfobulbia; Desulfobulbales; Desulfocapsaceae. The record is from RNAcentral.